This is a non-coding RNA of Phoenix dactylifera (date palm), 10086 nucleotides long. The record is from RefSeq and is a predicted model, not a curated record. Lineage: Eukaryota; Viridiplantae; Streptophyta; Magnoliopsida; Arecales; Arecaceae.
GCCCAGUAGCCACUUGUCACGUGGGCAUCUCGGGCAUCGCCCAUGUCCGCUUAUAAAAGACCGAAUGCUGCCGUUUCCGUUUUUUAAAUGCUUCUCUCCCGAUUGCCUCUCCCACUCAGCUCGAGAAGGCGAUGUCACUUAUCUAGGUUUUUUUUUUUGGUACGAGUUCCUAGUGCGUCGAGACGCUUUCUCCUCGAGUUCUCUACGAAUCAAGCUCGGAAUCUAAAUUCGCCGAUCUCUCUACCGAUUCGCAGUGAUAUUUGUAUGGGUAUUCAAGAAGUUCUUAAAGAUUUCUUAAUUCCAUUGAAUUUAUACAUGAUGCACUCGUCCGAAGGAUUUCGGUGAAUUUUUGCGAGCCAAGAAUAUAACGGGCUAAUCAGGUGAUUCGUGGUGCUCCUAGAAUGCUGUUUAACUGGCACGGCAGGUCUUGAAAAUUAUCAGGAGCCAUGGAAUUAGAAGUCAAGACGUGAAAUGAGGUGCAAUGCUUGCUGGCGGGAAUUGGAUGGGAAAGCCAUAUCAACCACCUGUGGCCACCUCCUGUGCACUGAAGAUGCAAGCAAGAUACUCAGCAACGAUUCUGCAUGCCCAGUUUGUGAUCAAGCGCUCUCCAAAAGCCACAUGAGACCAAUUGAUAUAAAUCCUGGUGAUCACUGGAUAAAUAUGGCGAUGGCUGGAGUGCCCCCGCAAAUUCUCAUGAAGACUGCAUAUCGAGGCGUGAUGUUUUACAUUGGACAAAAGGAAUUAGAGAUGCAAUACAAAUUGAACAAGAUCGCUGGGCAAUGCCAGCAGAAAUGUGAGGUCAUGCAAGAAAAAAUUAUGGAAAAAUUGGAGCAAGUGCAUGCUGCAUACCAGAAAAUGGCCAAGAGGUGCCAGAUGAUGGAACAAGAGAUUGAAAGCUUAUCAAAAGAUAAGCAAGAACUACAAGAAAAAUAUGCUGAGAAAUCCAGGCAGAAGAGGAAGCUAGAUGAGAUGUAUGAUCAGCUGAGGAGUGGGUAUGAGUCUGUUAAGCGUUCAGCAAUCCAACCUGCAGGCAACUUCUUUUCAAGAACUGAACCAGACUUGUUCUCCGGCAUGGGUGACAUGAUGGAUAGCAGAGACCGCCUCAGACAAGGGCAGAGAGAGGAGAUAUGGCCUUCAGCCAGACAGAAAAAUUCCAACUCGGGUGCCUAUAAUCUUUCUGGGGGCUCACCAGCACAGACUGCUCCAGUUCCUGUAGAUGCUGGAACCAGGAGACAGCCACACGCUUUAUUUGGACCUGGUGCGAGCAAUCCUGCUGCUACUUUGCGUAAUCUAAUAAUCUCACCCAUGAAGCAGCCUCAGCUAUCACGUACCCACCCACACUUGUUCACGUUGUAAAAUAGGAGAGAGCUCAGAAUGUUGCUGUGCAGUCAUUGCCACGUCAGCCUCUUCUCUCUCCCUGCAAAUUAAAGUAACUAUCUUUGAGACUCAGUGACAUCAUAGAACGAGUCUAGCUGAUAUCGACAAUAAUUUUGAGAAGAGAGAUCAUUUUGUUUCAGAAAGGGAAUUGAUACAAGGAUACUCGUAGUGUUUCUUUUUUUUAUUGCUUUGCAUUUUAAUUGAUGUAGGGACAGAAUUCUCCUUGUGGUACAUGAGAUGAAGCUUUGAAAAAUGAUGUCUGUGCUGGCAACACUAACGUAAGUUGUAUAAAAAUCACAAAUUGGGGGAUGGGGAGGGUGUAUCAGAUUAUAGACAUGAAAGGAGUUCUAGUGCACCAAUGAAGCUUGGUACUUUCAUGAAGCUUCAAGCAAUUGUUUAUAUACCUCUCCUGAACCUAAUAUGCAUGUCGAAGCAUAGAUCCGGAACAUGAGUUCAACCAGGAUUGUCCCAUUAUUCUAACAUUCUUGUUUAUCUCUGCUGGUAAGCUGAAGACUCUUUUCUGCUGUUUGAUGUUGAUGUGUGGUGCAUUGCAUAAUACUAUGUGGUACAGGUUCUUGAGAGCCAUGAUUUGAACCUUUCAAGCCGAAAACAUCAUCUCUAUUUUCCCCCAACCUUGCUAGGAAUCUUAUGACAUCUAAAUAAUUAUUUAUUUUCCAUCACAAAUUUUCUUGGAUCUUUGAUGCUGUUUAAUAUUUUUAGUUGCCCUGCAAACUUUGAGUAACUGCCCAAGUUCCUUGGCAAGACUUGACAUAGCAAUAUUUGUUCUUCGCUGAUAUUAUCUGGUUACGACUCUCUCCAGUGAUCCGAGACUUGAUCGAUACUACUGAUAUUUACAGUCACAGGUCAAUGCAGUAGAAAAGCAGAGUUAGGAUAUGAUGGCGUUACCUGGUGCCUUCUGAAUGUGGGUUUUAAACAAGUCACAGCCUCACAGGUUAAGGCCUAAUUACUUAGAAUGCAUUUUAAUGGAAAAUUCCAAUUAAUUAACUUCCAUAAUUCUGUAGGCAAAUUCAACAGUUAAAUCUUUGAUGCAGGGCUCGGUUCUGUGAGUAUCAUGACUGGAAAUUUUUUGAUGAUCCCUUGCAACCUGCUGCUUUUGCUUCUUCAGUAUCGAUGUUUUUAUUAAUGUUCAUUUGUGCAUGCAUGAUUGAAGUUCCCUGGCUCCACUGCAUGUCUCAUCAGUCUGACGUUUGGUAAUUCACAUUGUUCCGAGUUUGUGUUGCAUCUUAAGCACGAAAUAAUGAUUUUGGUAAGAAACAUUGUUCCGUGUUCGCGGUGCAUCUUGAUCACGAAUGAAUGAUUAAUAUUGUCUCGCCACAUCCACAAUUGGAUUGCAUUUUGCACAAAUCUCGAACCAUCUCAAACUUAUUUAUCCAUCCAUUUGCACAGCCUUUAAAGCAAUUAUUGAACGAUCCAAGGUGCAUCCUUGUUCCGUGGCAUUAAGCGCAAAAGAUACAACCCCCAUCCCAUUGUUCUAUGGCAUUAAUUAAGCGAGGAACUUGCUAAUCUUGGGCGUUGCUUUUGAAAUUUGUAACUCGUCCCGUUACGUUCCAAGAUCCGAUCGAUCCCCAGGAAGACCCGACCCCUUGUAUCUAGGUUGGGGAGGCACCCCCUUUCCUGGGCCCCGGGCCCGUGGUCGUCUAGAAUGCGUCAACCCCGUCGGCGUUCCACGAGGGAACCCUCGAGCUUCGGGGGGUUCCAGCAGUCCUCCCUCGCGCUGCGGCCCGGCGGACCACCCCAUCGUGCGGAGUAUUCCCCGACGGAGAUUGAAUCUACGGUCGAUCUCAUGUACCUCGCCGGCAAGGGCGAUGGGGGAGGCAUCCGAGGCCUCUUGGAGUCCGACAUCGUCGUCAACUUCAAGGGCAUCGACGGGAGGACGGCUCUGCACGUCACCGCGUUCCAGGGCCGCCUCGAUGUCGUCGAUUUGCUGCUCCUCAGCGGCGCCGUGGUGGAUCCCAGGCACCGGUGAGGCAGCGCGGUCUCUUCUUGAUAUGCUGAACCUCAAAAGUUCAAAUCUCAUCUGGAUCUAUUUGCAUCUGGUCUUGGAGUCUGCAGUUUAAAUGAUUCUUUCAACCAUAUUCGAUGCUUGUAGUAGUAACCUGCAGAGAAAAGAGGAAUUUUCAGGAAUUCAUCGACAUAUGUAUUCUCUUAGUCAAAUGGUUAAUACUUUUUUUGUUUUUUGUUUUUUUUAAUGUUUAGGAACACUUCCCUGCUAAGAUUUGAAGUUGAGCACAUCGUAUGUACAUUUGCAGUUAACUAAAUUUUAUCAUCAGAACUUCAGACUGAUUUUCCUACUACUGUUGUCUGAAUAGCCACUUGGAAAUGCAAUAUAAUACAAGAAUCAUGAUGUGAUCAAGCUUUUGGAGAAAUUUGGUGCUAAGCUCAGAUUGCUUCUAUGCAUGUGAAAAUGGCACGUAAAGUUCCAGACUAUGGGUUUCAUCCAAGUGAACUUGAUUUCACAAACAGUGUUGAAAUAACCAAGGCAUGGUGACUUAUCUUUGAUAUGCAUGUCCAACAAAUUUGAUGCUAAAGAUGAGGAGGGCUGCUGAGAUUGCAUUAUUAACUUCCAAGAAAUUUCUAGAAGAUGGAUUUGAAGAGGAUGGGCCUCCACAAUAGUGAAGGCAAGAUUCUAACACCAACAUGUCUCUAAAAUUGCCAUUGAGAGAAGGGAACUUAGACACGGGCUUUCAUUGCUUCAGCAAAUACAGCAUUCAAAUAUUGUCCAAUUUUUGGGCGCUACAAAGUAAUCGAAUGAUGGCAGUUAUGGAAUAUCUGCCAAAGGUUUGUUUGCUGAUUUUCUGAGCUUCCAUUUUCUUUUUUUUUGAGCUGUGAAAACUAAACCUAUCUGUGUAUUUUUGGCAUUUGUUGUUCAUCCGAUCUUACAUAUUCCUUCCUUUUUCCAAUCAUGAUAUUAACCAAUCUAACCAGGUCUCGCCUUAUCAUGUUUUCUUCUGGGUUGGGCCAAUAUCAGCUCAGUAAUGCAAGGAUUUUUUUUUUUCAUGAACAACAAUGUAAGAUGUAAAUAGUUAUAAAGUGGUCUUCCCAAUUGUCCAUUAUUAUAUGAAUUGUUAUUUUAAUGGAGUUAGGACUAAUAACUGCAACUUAUAAUAGUCAUGCAUAUUUAUCAUCUUUUAUAAAACUUUAAAGUUUAAACUGUAAUGUCUUUGGCAUCAAGCUGUUUGGGUAUGUAAUUGUAUUUAUGUUCUGGGAUUAAGGCACUAAAAGGAAACCAGAUUAAUAAAAUUGAAAGCACAAACUCCUAACCUAUAAAUUUUAAUUGAUAUCAACAAUUUAGAAUAUUACAGUACAUCCCCAAUUCACCACUGGGUGAACCUCAAGUUUGCUUUUGAAAUUGAGAUAAUUGGCAUCUGCCCCCUGCAUUGACUGCCAUCUGACAUUUAGUCCCUGUUGACUGAAAAGUUUUAUUGCACCCUUGAUAUUGAUGGCCAUUUUAUGUUUAAUCCCUGUCCCCAUAUGUACUUAUGCAUAAGUGUGUAUAAAACAGAGAACUCUGUGUAGAAACAGGCAUAACUGAAAAAUACUGCCUGACUAUAGAAGAAGAAUGUAAAAAUGCCAACUAUUUAAAGGCUAAACAUAAAAUGGCGGUCAAACAAAGGCUGAUUGUUAAGUUCCCAUUGGAAUUUUCAUAAACAUGUUUUAUUUACUUGUAUUGUUAUACAUCACUGUCAAAGAUAAGCCAUGGUGGUUCGAGAAAAAAUGUUCAAUAAAGAGAUCCAUCUUCUAAGAUCAAUUCAAUAUAGCAUUUGUCUGUCUAAAAUUUCCAAUAUAUGUCAGUAUUACUUCUUUUGGUUUUAGACUGUGUAAUACGACAUGUUAGCUAUGUGAUUUGAUUGAAUAAGAGCUGAUUAAGAGAAAUGAACUGGUAUUCUUUGGUCUGAAUCUCCAGUUUGACUCUUGUACUGGUUCAGAUUUCAGAGUGAUGUCAAACAAACUAUACCAAAUGGAAGGGCAGCCUGGUCUAUAUAUUGCAUGAUGUCUUAGUUUACUUCAUUCUUGGGUGCAAGGUGAUCUAUACCAGAAAGGAGCAAUAAAUCCAUCAAUGGCAGUUCAAUUUGCACUUGAUAUAGCAAGGUUGUUAAGUUAGUUUUUGCCUUCCAUUUUCUCAAAGAAACCUGCUAAUGAGUAGUUACUAGUGAGAAUCAAGUUAGACAUGAGUUUCUAACACUUCCUAAAAUACUUAUGGAAUUUUGUUUUCCCAUCAUCUUUAAUUUUCAAGCAUUGCAAAUGCAAGUAUUAACCUAUGGGUCAAAUUUUGCCAGAGGAAUGAAUUUUUUGCAUGUGUCAUAAAUGAUUAUGUUUGUGCUCUUAUUUCUUUAUAUCUCGUAUAUGGAUUCGAUUUUACUACCUAGUACUCUUUGAAUAGCUUGAAGCUUUUUGGACGUGUUUGCUUUGCUUAUUAUGAGUAAGAUUACAGAAUCAUAUUGUUAGAUAAUGCUAAACAUUUGUAAGUUGCAAAUUUUGAUGUCAGCAAGCUGCUGAAGGUAGUGAAACUGUCUGUGAGGACAGACCGCUUGAUUACAAGAAUCGUUCAGCUUUCACUUGCCCCACCUAUAUAACUUCUGAAAGCAAUAUGAAGUGAAAUAGAUUAGUCAACAUGUACUUGAUUUGUUCACUAUAUGAAGUAAAGCAUCAAAUGAAAGACAUUUUUAAGUAUCAGAGUUAGAAGAAAUCCAGAGGUUAAAGUCUUUAGGUUAAAAAUUGUCUUAAAGAAUAGCAGAUAUUUUAAAUUCUGUUUGAUCAGUUUUGGUAAUUGCAUGUAGAUCAUCUAUAAUAACAGCAUAUCAUAUAAGUGAGAAACUUGCAUCAGGAUAAAGGGGAGACAUCUUUUUUUGGGUCAGACCAUCAAAAAUAUUCUAGAAUUACGAAGGAAAUGAAGGAGGUUAGUGUUGCAUGGAUUUUCUUUGUCUUUUUCCCUUUGUGCAAUAACGAAGGCGACAUUUUAUAGUUCAUGAUGGAUUAUUCCUUUUCAGGAGCAAUUUUUGAGGGUUAGCUGGAUCAUUGUUGACAAUGGAAGCAGUCCACAUGCCAGAAAUUUAUUAGCCAUUCGUGGACCAGGAAUUUAUGAGCCAUGUGUGGAGAGUGUAAAGGUGGAGCCCAUUGCCAGAAACUCAUCAGCAGAUGUUAGAUACCACAGUGAUUCUUGCAGAUGCCUAGUGGGUGUUGAGAUUAUCAAGCAUGGGAAGGCCCCACAAUUGAAUUCUACAAGUUGGCUGAUCCACUGCUUCUGUGAAUUUGUAGAUUCCGAGAUUUGUAAUGUGGAUAGAGUCAUAACAGAAAUGUAGAUUGAUUGGUAAAACAUUAGCAGAUUUCUUGACUCAGAUGAUUAUUGGAAGGAACCAAUACCUAAGUCUAGCUUAAUAUAUUUUGUAGGGGGUCAGGUUAGUUAUGCUAGUGUGGCUUAUGUUAUGUUGAAUAAAGACUUGAUGGUAAUACAUGAAGGUGGGGCUUCAGUCCAGGUUAAGAUGCCCAUAAAUGUUUUCUUUACUUUUCUUUUUUUUCCCCUAUAUCUCGGCUAAUAAGGUGGACAUUAGAUUGAGUGCUAUGUGAUGGCCGCUUACAAGUUCACUUAAAAAAAGGAAGGAAUGGGUGGAGAGACUCUACAAACAAGAUAUGAUGUUGUGGUUUAAGAGACUUUGUGCUUCCAUAGGGUGCAUGCGCAUUUGACGAGCACAAGGGUUAUGAUCAUGUUUAGAUUGAUGUAUUUUGGAGUUACAAAGGAAUAGUCAAAGAUUAUGGUGGAUAAGAUAUGAAACUGAUCAAGAUUGUAUGUGCAACCAAGAUGUUAGAGAGACCCCUUAAGGUGGCACUCAAUGUGUCUUGCAGCACUAGGCUUGCGAAGAAGAAUAGGUGCUAAGAACACCUGUAUAGAAUUGAUGAGAAAGGACAUUAAGUCCUUUACUACAAAGAGACCCUUAAUAGGACUGGUUGACAAAGAUAUCCAAUGCUUACUUAGAUUGAUGGGAUGAAACUCGACAUGGUCAGUACUCAGUAGUGCAAUUAAUUGAUUAGUUUUUUCAAAUGCUUUGUUAUAUGAAUCUGUGUGGUUACUCUUAUGAAUAACCUAAUAUACCAACCAAAAGCUGUCAUGUCUCAUCCCAUUUCUACAAUAUUCUUUUUUCUUUGUGCUUCUAGCUUGAUCAUGCUGUUUUAAGCCCUCGCCUCUAAACUCAGCAAUGUAUAUGUAAAACUAUAAACUUUUUGAGCAGGCAGGUAUGUGGCUCCAGAAGUCUUCCAAAUGGAGAAUAUGGUAUAAAAGUGGAUGUCUUUUCAUUUUUUUUUUAUCUUUCAGGAGGUAUGCUUUCUAAAAGCUUGCAAGUCUAUAAACAUAUUUAGCACGGUAAUUUCAGCAAUACUGAUAUAGGAGAAUGGUUGCCCUGCAACUUUCUAGCUGCUCGUUUAUCUCAAGAGAACAAACUAAUUUAUUUGUGGGCAUGCCCAUGAAUAAUAACAUAAGAAUGAAAUGUCUUUAACUUAAUAAAAAAUUCAAAUUGUUGUUCACUAGGGGGUAAGCUUGCAUAUAUCUGACCUUCUUUAGAUCCUGUAGUGGCGGGAGCCUCGUGACUGGGAUGCCCUUUGCUAUUAACUAGUGGAAAAAACUUCCCAAAUGUGAACUUCCUUGUUGUCAAAACCAACCAGUGUAUUUUUCUUUGUACCAAUCAAUUAGAAAAUAAUGCAGAUAAAGAUGUUAAGUGUGCAUAAGUAUACCAGGCACUUGUGUUAAUUUGUACCUAAAUAGGUACUAGACAUUUUUGUUAUUGUAAUAUCAUUUGGUAUAUAUUAUUGCAACAGGAAAAGAUGCCAUCUUCAAGUAGAUAGAUGAGCUCUACUGAUUGCUCUUCUGCUUUUCCUUGGUGUUGUCCUCUGUAAAUGCACAUCAUUCAUUAGAUUUAUUCAGUACUCAUGUAGUAAAUACUCAUUGACAAGCAAGAUGGAUGUGUUGAAUGUAAUACUUCGUAUCUGCGGAGUUUUAGGCCAUAUUGCGAGGUACAGGCAACCUAUGUUAUACCAACUCAGACAUGAGCAUCAUGAGGGGGUGCAUGUCUUAGCAUCCGAUCCUUCGUUAAGAAUUUCCUCUAAUGGAUCCUUACCCUAGUGCCUAUCCAUGUUUAAGUGUGGGGGGUGGGUGCUUCAUAGUGAAUCAAAGGGUUCAAGUUAUAUGAGGUGCAAUAGUCUCAAAUUUGAUGCCCUUGAGUUACCAUUUUUCAUGUUCAUGUUGGUUCAUAUGCCUCCAUACAUGUUUAUAUAUGCAUUCUGCAGAGAUGGUUGCAUUUACGAUGAAAUAUGUGCAUAAUCUUGUCUAUCUAAAAAAAUCGUACUAGAGUUCUGGGUGGCGCACAGUUGAAUUGGCACUUCUUGUUUAACAUAGAGUUCAUUUGUUGACAGCAAGCUUGUGCUCAAAUCACCAAUUUCUGGUGUUAAUGAUAAUAUACAUGUAGUUAAUUGUUUUUAUGCUAAAUGGUUUGUUGAUAAUGCAUUCAUAUUGUCUUAAUUGUUGCUUUCUUGCAUAGAAUCUUUAGGAUACAAUUUGUUAACAUUGCCAAUAUAUAUUUAUUGUAAUUGUGUUUGGAUUAUUAUUAACCUGAUCUGAUCUGAAAAACCGAUACACUAAUAAAAUAAAUCAUAAAACUUGAUGAAAUCCGAUCAGAGUGGAAGUGAAUUUUGACCCAAUUUAAGUAUGGAUCAUUUUGGAUUGUGCCAAACCUACUUGUGUGUAGCAUGUAAAGAUUUUUGAGUCUGGGGUUUAAAUCUUGCAAAAGCAACCUGUUUAAACAUAUAUUCCUCUAGGGCUUUUUAUACUUUAGUUACAUAUUGUGAUGAUCUGCGGUAGAUGUCAUGAUUCCUUUAUUAUUUUAGGCCAGGAAGGGUGAUGGCUGAUAAACUUGGCACUGAAGGAUCUUUGAAAUGAUCGUGUAAAUAUGAAUAGCUGCUAAAAGUUCAGUGGCAAUUUAUGUUGAAUUUUCAAAGUUUUGUAUGAGUCUUUUCUUGCAAAUUUUAUCUGUGGAGGAAAUAGAAUGCAGCACAGAACUGUAAUUUCCCCUCUACAACCUCAUAUUUGGUCGGAAAGGACUUGGAUGGUAAUGAUCGAGGGUGUUUUUUCUCUUGUUAUUUGAUCUGAAAUGUACAUCAAGGUACUUCAAUUGUGGCGUUCGCUGAUUUCAAUUCCUCUUCUUUUCCUCUGUACCUAGGCUUAAGUUCUUAAAAGAGUAGUGUGUGGAAAAGAAAAGAAACCUCCAUAGAAAUAGGAAAUGUGAUUCAUGUGGCUGAAAAUUUUGAUGCAAUAGUUGAGUGUAAGAUCUGUGGGGGUUGAAAUGCUCAAUUACCCUGAGAGAAACUUCAGCAAGUUCGGGGGUUAUGUUCUUCUAUUGAAUUAAACUACUUGCUUAAGACAAUGCUGAGAUAUAUUUAUUUGCUUAACAGCAUCAAUGUUGACCUGCAUGGCAAAGGCUGCUGAAAUAUAGUUCAUUAACAUUUGAUUCUUUGUAGACUGUUUUAUCCAGAUGAUUGGAGGGUCUCCACCAUGUUCCACUACACGAGACAUCGAAGUUCCCAAAGCAUAUUUAUUUGAUUAGCCUCCUUUUAUUUGAUUAAAGAGUUUGUCCAUUUUCUUGAAUAAUAUUUUUUUUCAGCACAUGUAACAUAUUAUAAUACAAUGUUGACUUCUCUUUGAUA